UGACGAGUGGCGGACGGGUGAGUAAUGUCUGGGAACUAGCCCGAUGGCGGGGGAUAACUACUGGAAACGGUAGCUAAUACCGCAUAACGUCGCAAGACCAAAGUGGGGGACCUUCGGGCCUCACGCCAUCGGAUGUGCCCAGAUGGGAUUAGCUAGUAGGUGGGGUAACGGCUCACCUAGGCGACGAUCCCUAGCUGGUCUGAGAGGAUGACCAGCCACACUGGAACUGAGACACGGUCCAG
RNAcentral lists this ribosomal RNA (242 nucleotides) under uncultured bacterium. Its description in RNAcentral is "partial 16S ribosomal RNA". It matches the Rfam family "Bacterial small subunit ribosomal RNA", at positions 89 to 334 of the family's 1533-position model. The record is from RNAcentral.